CCUACGGGGGGCAGCAGUCGAGAAUCAUUCACAAUGGGGGAAACCCUGAUGGUGCGACGCCGCGUGGGGGAAUGAAGGUCUUCGGAUUGUAAACUCCUGUCAUGUGGGAGCAAAGUAAAAAGAUAGCACCACAAGAGGAAGAGACGGCUAACUAUGUGCCAGCAGCCGCGGUAAUACAGAGGUCUCAAGUGUUGUUCGGAAGCACUGGGCGUAAAGCGUGCGUAGGCUGUGUCGUAAGUCUUGUGUGAAAGCCGCGGGCUCAACCCGCGGACGGCACAUGAUACUGCGAGGCUUGAGUGAUGGAGGGGGAACCGGAAUUCUGGGUGUAGCAGUGAAAUGCGUAGAUA
RNAcentral lists this ribosomal RNA (347 nucleotides) under uncultured bacterium. RNAcentral describes it as "partial 16S ribosomal RNA". It matches the Rfam family "Bacterial small subunit ribosomal RNA", at positions 338 to 696 of the family's 1533-position model. The record is from RNAcentral.